Molecule: ribosomal RNA, 421 nt
Filed under: uncultured eukaryote
Lineage: Eukaryota
Description: bacterial SSU rRNA
Rfam family: Eukaryotic small subunit ribosomal RNA
Source: RNAcentral
CAAUAGCGUAUACUAACGUUGUUGCAGUUAAAAGCUCGUAGUUGGAUUUCUGUAUUGGUUAGCCGGCCGGCGCAUUCGCGUUGCAGCUUGGUUUAAUCGAUGCAUCUUGUCACAAUAGACACUGGCAUUCAUUUGUUGGUGUUCUGGACUGACUCGUUUACUUUGAGAAAAUUAGAGUGUUCAAAGCAGGCUAUCGCCUUGAAUAUGUUAGCAUGGAAUAAUGAUAUAGGACUUUGGAACUAUUUUGUUGGUUUGCGUUACAAAGUAAUGAUUAAUAGGGACAGUUGGGGGUAUUCGUAUUUCGUUGUCAGAGGUGAAAUUCUUGGAUUUCCGAAAGACGAACUACUGCGAAAGCAUUUACCAAGGAUGUUUUCAUUAAUCAAGAACGAAAGUUAGGGGAUCGAAGACGAUCAGAUACCGU